Ictalurus furcatus (blue catfish) is the source of this 4168-nucleotide long non-coding RNA. RefSeq lists it as uncharacterized. The record is from RefSeq and is a predicted model, not a curated record. NCBI's taxonomy places the organism in Eukaryota, Metazoa, Chordata, Actinopteri, Siluriformes, Ictaluridae. The transcript has 3 exons.
AUUAGAAUAAAGAAUUUAGAAUACAGAAAUGUCGACCUGAGAAGAGAACAUUAUACAAAAGCUGGAUUUAAAAUAUUGCCCUAGAAUUGGAUUUUCCUUCAGUCACAAAGUCUAGAUUUCACGCUACAUUUACAUUUAACCAUUUAGACAGUGCUGUCCCUUGCUCAUGUUUCUUCAGAGCUGUGGUCAUGUUAAAUGAGGUUCAAGCAUAGCAGCAUCUUCAGUCUCAUGAACUUCUGAGGAAUUCUCAGAGACUUUGGAAGAAUUCCAAGUGUGAGGUCUGCAAAAAGGUUCAUUCUUCCUAAAAGCCAGCAAGAGUUCCAUGAACACCAGAACAUUCUGGAGCUGAGAGUCCUAAAGAAUUCCCACCAGCAACUCCCAACACUCAGAAUAAUACAUCAAGUCAAGUGUAGCCUGACCAAUAGACAAUCAGCCUCUACCCCCUACUCCCUCCCACACUCACACUCACACACACACACACACACACACACACAAACACACAGGUACAGUUUCGGUUUUUAGUUUUCAUGUGCUUUAUUAGCAUGACAAAUAAUUGUACAUUUGUAUUGCCAAAGCAUACACAAACAAAGCAAAGCACCAUACUCGGAGGAUCACACCCCUAUAUCAUCCACAAACUGUGGGGAACUGAUGGUGUGUGUGUGUGUGUGUCCUGGUCAAUAGGAGGAUUAUGCUAGAGAUUUAACUCUAGCAACAGAGGGUGUCCAGUCAUAACAAGUGCUAUAAUCUGCUUCUCUGGUUGGCUAAUGGUUUAUAAACAAUGGUGGAGCUACACAUGUUGGUCUUCUGAGUGUUACAAGUGAAAAAAGUCAUCAAUUAAUUAAAGAGAAGGCUACCUACACAGGUACCCGGGGACAGAUAUUUCAAAUUUGUGCUGCGGUCAGGGAAAACCCUUAAAUAAACUAGUUAAAUAACCUGAGUCAUCGUUUAGUUAUGUGGUAGCCUCAGCAGCCUGUGUGUGGGAUACAGAGCAGACAUGAGCCUGGACAAUUUGCUCAAUAGAACCACAGAGACAGCAGACAAAUAAAUGCAAGCAUAAUCACAACACAGCUUACUGGCGACAGGGCACAAAUUCUGUCAGACCGCAAAGCACAUGCUCACUUCUCAAUAUCAGAUAUUUAAUUUAACUUGUAUCUCUAAGUGACUUUCAAAUGCUCACCUUAACUGCUCAUUAGUCUCAGUCCCCAUGCUUAUAAACAAGAGUUAAAUUAAGGCAUAAUAGUGAUAAAGCAAUUAUAUAUGUUCAUAACGAUUUAUAUUUUCAUGUCAUUUUAAUGGCAAAACUGCUGAAAAUGUAAGGUCUGUUCACAGGGGUUACUGAUAUAAACAGACUAUUAGGGCUAAGCCUCUAGGUCUUUCAAUCAUAAAAAGACAUCAGGUUUCAUUUCUGACAUCCACAUCAGAAUGUUAACAAAUGUCUUCCAUCCUUUCAUCCAUUUUCUGUACUGCUUAUCCUGCACAAGGUCAUGGGACGCCUGGAGCCUAUGCCAGGGGACUCGGGGCACGAGGCGGGGGACACCCUGGACAGGGUGCCAACUCAUCACAGGGCACAAUCACACACACUCAUACACUACAGACAAUUUGGAAAUGGCAAUCAGCCUACAAUGCAUGUCUUCGGACUGGGAGAGGGAACAAGAGUACCCGGAGGAAACCCCCAAAUCACUGGGAGAACAUGCAAGUGCCGCGCACACAGGACAGAGGCGGGAAUCAAACCCCCAACCAUGGAGGUUUGAGGCAAACAUGCUAGCAAAUGUCUUAAAACUGAUUCUUUUUCACUUUAAUGGAACCUAGCACAACACAGUGGUCUGAAGAAGUGAGGCUGGGGCUGACUUCUUUCUAGCCCAGAUUGUAGAUUCAUGCAGUCUAUCAGUAUCAGGUGAUUACACAGUGUGACACACCCUCUAGUGUUGAUCUCCAUUUAGGCUGAAAUUUAACAGCUGGCAUCACUGACACAUCUGUAACAAGACAUCAGCAGUUAUUGAGAAACUGCAUGGAAAUACAAUCGAAUGUGUAAUGAUCGAGAACGAGAUGGAUUAUUUACUCUAUUGUUUUCUAUUGCCCCCAAAACACCUAGUAGAAACCUUAAGAUUGUCCAAUAAAAGUACAAAUGUGUGCAAGUAUGUGUACAAUAGUUGCUCAGUCCUUGAUAGGGAUUCUAUUAUAUCCCUUCCAUCUAAUAUCACGACUAGCCAUCAAUUUCUGUUCACCAAUCACAUUUCUCUGAUAUCAAUGUUAGAGACAUCCAUAUAAUCAUUUUGGAGAAACUAGCCCGGGAUAUCGCAUUUGCUGAAGGCCCAGACUUCAUUCUGGCAAACUUUAGGAUCACAAUGUUUACGUGAGACUGUGGAGGAGUGUAUGCGAGGACUGAGUCAUCAUCCAAAGUAGCAGAUUAGCACAAGUCUGCCUAACCCAAGGAUAUAUGACUAUAAAAGAGAUGCAGAAAGAGCAGACGAGCAAGAAAGAGAAAGAAUGUUUCUAAGGUCAUGUCCCUCUGAGGUUUGAGGUCUCCUUCAUAUUGUGUCUUUUUCUAGACAGGUUAUGGAGGUUAAACAACACAUGGCCCAUUAGCAGAGAAAAACACAAAUGUGUUAGUUCAAACAGAAUCUCUCAGUCAGUCAUGAUAUUUCUUAGAUAAAAUACAAGGUAUUAUUGAGACGGUUCUACUUAAAAUGCUGGGGGGAAAUGGCGGGGAAGCACUCUACUGCAACGUGUGAAUGUGGCAGCAUCUUAAAUCCUGUGAGGACAGACCUUCACUACUGCUCUCGUGAUGUGACAGGUGCCAGAGCACCUAAGGACAGCUCGAGAGGAACAACAAAAACAUGAUGGUUCAUUUAUAUUUAGUAAAUGUUAUUUACUAUUUACUAUUUACUAUUACAGAUCUAUAAUCGUAGCUAUGAUUUGAGUUAAAAAAAAAAAGGAGUACAUGCUACAGUUGAGGUGUCCAGAAACUGGGUGGUCCUUGAGGUGUUUAUAUACACAAUAAUUUUCUUUUCGGUGUUGUCCAUAUGCUCUAAAUAUCAUUUUACAGUUAAUACACAGUGCCAUGACUGCAAUGAUAAUCAUUAACAGUCCUUAAAUCUACUGCAUUUUGACUUUCAUGUCAUAUCCUAUACAUUAAACAACCUUAAACAACUUCAAACUGAAAGGUUCUCCACGUCUCAUUCUCAAAAAUAUAUCCUAACAUUUAAAAGUACAUCUAAAAUUAAUGCAGAGAUAUAUUAUGUUUGGAUAUUACUAUAAAAGAUACUUUACCCCCAAGACAUUACUAUUACACCAAGCAUGCAGUCAAUGUGAUGAAAUACCUGCUCAGUUGAAUGAGUCAAUCAGUUCCUCCAAACAAGUUGGUUUUAAUGUGCAUAGAGAUGUACUUUAAAGAAGUUACUGCCCUUUACUGGAUUACUCUGUUCCCAAAAAUACCCACCAAAACAAUGGGCUCACACAGAGCAGCCAAUCCUGUGGACCCACUGCACUCACCUAGGCAAUGGAACCAACCAUUUCUCUAAUACACAGGGGGGUUAGUAAAUUUAUCUAAAUAAUGUUCCUUCUGUAUUCCAUUUGCACUCCUGUAGCUUUCAGGGGGAAAUGCUAGUCAUGUUUGCUUCACAGGAUAUAGCGAGAAUUACAUUAUGCUUAAAGAAUACACAAUGUCAUGUUUCUCCUUGAGUAAUUAAAUUUCACUGAUUUCCCCUACACUGAGGUUUGUCCAGCUUUGCAGGUUGUAAUUGGAUUCUGAGUGAAGGCAUGAGUAGCCAGAUCGCACAAAGGCUGAAACCUCUCUGUGUAAUAAGUUAAUAAGAAUAGUAAGUUAUUACAUUGGUAUAGAGUAAUCUGAAAUGGUAAUACUCUUGGAUCCUAUUUAAAGUGGCUAAAUGAAAUGUGCAAUCUGAUCAUCUGUGUGUGCAGUUAGUGGAUGUGGUGCUUAACACCUCGCACAUCUGAAAACCAUGCUGGUAGGUGUACUGGUUACACUAAAUUGCCCCCUAGGUGUGAAUGUGUGCACGUGGUGCCGUACAAUGGACUGUGAAUCUAUCCUAGGUGUAUAUACCCGCUCAUUCAGUUUCAGUAAGCCCUUUAUCCUGGUCAAGGUCACGGCGUAUCUUGAGUCUAUCCCUGAAACACUGGGAGUAAGGCAGAAAUACACCGUGGACGG